RNAcentral lists this ribosomal RNA (503 nucleotides) under uncultured bacterium. RNAcentral's name for it is "partial 16S ribosomal RNA". It matches the Rfam family "Bacterial small subunit ribosomal RNA", at positions 30 to 523 of the family's 1533-position model. The record is from RNAcentral.
AUUGAACGCUGGCGGCAGGCUUAACACAUGCAAGUCGAGCGGAGUGAUGGUGCUUGCACUAUCACUUAGCGGCGGACGGGUGAGUAAUGCUUAGGAAUCUGCCUAUUAGUGGGGGACAACAUCUCGAAAGGGAUGCUAAUACCGCAUACGUCCUACGGGAGAAAGCAGGGGAUCACUUGUGACCUUGCGCUAAUAGAUGAGCCUAAGUCGGAUUAGCUAGUUGGUGGGGUAAAGGCCUACCAAGGCGACGAUCUGUAGCGGGUCUGAGAGGAUGAUCCGCCACACUGGGACUGAGACACGGCCCAGACUCCUACGGGAGGCAGCAGUGGGGAAUAUUGGACAAUGGGGGGAACCCUGAUCCAGCCAUGCCGCGUGUGUGAAGAAGGCCUUAUGGUUGUAAAGCACUUUAAGCGAGGAGGAGGCUUACCUAGUUAAUACCUGGGAUAAGUGGACGUUACUCGCAGAAUAAGCACCGGCUAACUCUGUGCCAGCCGCCGCGGUAA